RNAcentral lists this long non-coding RNA (403 nucleotides) under Homo sapiens (human). RNAcentral describes it as "HSALNT0376481". The record is from RNAcentral. Lineage: Eukaryota; Metazoa; Chordata; Mammalia; Primates; Hominidae.
GUUCGGCUCUGGGAAACAAGGAACCCUCUCUGCUUGGUGGACAUCACCCUGCACACCACCCCUGCCGCCCACCACUCGCGUCCUCUCCAGUUCCUGCCUCCCCUCUCUGCCUGCUGCAGAUUUGGCUGCUUCUUUAUCCUAUGACCAGUUUUCAUCGGCUCUGAGGAUUAGCAGGGACCAGAGCCCAAGCCCCGGGAGUGCUCAGGCCCUCAGAUUAAGAACUGAUUCGAAAGACUUCAGUACACUGAAGUACCAUGCACACUGAUAUUUCAACUGGUUAUCAGCUCUCAAAACAUUAACCUAAAAUGAAAAAUGUAAACUUGCCAAAUUUGGUUUUUGUUUUCAUCUUAUGCCAGUAAACUCAUAAGAAGGAACUUCUAGAAAAAAGUGAAAUACUCUAGGC